This 492-nucleotide ribosomal RNA is filed under the name uncultured bacterium. RNAcentral's name for it is "partial 16S ribosomal RNA". It matches the Rfam family "Bacterial small subunit ribosomal RNA", at positions 29 to 507 of the family's 1533-position model. The record is from RNAcentral.
AGUGAACGCUGGCGGUAGGCCUAACACAUGCAAGUCGAACGGCAGCACAGUAAGAGCUUGCUCUUACGGGUGGCGAGUGGCGGACGGGUGAGGAAUACAUCGGAAUCUACUUUUUCGUGGGGGAUAACGUAGGGAAACUUACGCUAAUACCGCAUACGACCUACGGGUGAAAGCAGGGGAUCUUCGGACCUUGCGCGAUUGAAUGAGCCGAUGUCGGAUUAGCUAGUUGGCGGGGUAAAGGCCCACCAAGGCGACGAUCCGUAGCUGGUCUGAGAGGAUGAUCAGCCACACUGGAACUGAGACACGGUCCCGACUCCGACGGGAGGCAGCAGUGGGGAAUAUUGGACAAUGGGCGCAAGCCUGAUCCAGCCAUACCGCGUGGGUGAAGAAGGCCUUCGGGUUGUAAAGCCCUUUUGUUGGGAAAGAAAAGCAGCAGGUUAAUACCCCGCUGUUCUGACGGUACCCAAAGAAUAAGCACCGGCUAACUUCGUG